UUGGAGGGCAAGUCUGGUGCCGGCAGCCGCGGUAAUUCCAGCUCCAAUAGCGUAUAUUAAAGUUGUUGCAGUUAAAAAGCUCGUAGUUGAACUUCGGGAUCAAUGGAUCGGUCAUGCCGUUGGUAUGUACUGGUCACAUUGGUUCUCACCUUCUAAGGAACCAUGAUGUCAUUCAUUUGAUGUUGUGGGGAAUUAGGACUGUUACCUUGAAAAAAUUAGAGUGUUUAAAGCAGGCUAACGCUUGAAUACAUUAGCAUGGAAUAAUGAAAUAGGACAUCGCAUUCUAUUUUGUUGGUUUCUAGGAUCGAUGUAAUGAUUAAUAGGGAUAGUUGGGGGCAUUAGUAUUCAAUUGUCAGAGGUGAAAUUCUUGGAUUUAUUGAAGACUAACUACUGCGAAAGCAUUUGCCAAGGAUGUUUUCAUUAAUCAAGGACGAAAGUUAGGGGAUCGAAGACGAUCAGAUACCGUCGUAGUCUUAACCAUAAACUAUGCCGACUAGGGAUCGGAUGAUGUUGAUUUUUUAAUGACUCAUUCGGCGCCUUACGGGAAAC
Molecule: ribosomal RNA, 549 nt
Filed under: uncultured Glomus
Lineage: Eukaryota; Fungi; Glomeromycota; Glomeromycetes; Glomerales; Glomeraceae
Description: SSU rRNA
Rfam family: Eukaryotic small subunit ribosomal RNA
Source: RNAcentral